RNAcentral lists this ribosomal RNA (791 nucleotides) under uncultured bacterium. RNAcentral describes it as "bacterial SSU rRNA". It matches the Rfam family "Bacterial small subunit ribosomal RNA", at positions 8 to 796 of the family's 1533-position model. The record is from RNAcentral.
AGAGUUUGAUCAUGGCUCAGAUUGAACGCUGGCGGCAUGCCUUACACAUGCAAGUCGAACGGCAGCGCGGGGCAACCUGGCGGCGAGUGGCGAACGGGUGAGUAAUAUAUCGGAACGUACCCUGGAGUGGGGGAUAACGUAGCGAAAGUUACGCUAAUACCGCAUACGAUCUAAGGAUGAAAGCAGGGGACCGCAAGGCCUUGUGCUCCUGGAGCGGCCGAUAUCUGAUUAGCUAGUUGGUGGGGUAAAGGCCUACCAAGGCAUCGAUCAGUAGCUGGUCUGAGAGGACGACCAGCCACACUGGAACUGAGACACGGUCCAGACUCCUACGGGAGGCAGCAGUGGGGAAUUUUGGACAAUGGGCGCAAGCCUGAUCCAGCAAUGCCGCGUGAGUGAAGAAGGCCUUCGGGUUGUAAAGCUCUUUUGUCAGGGAAGAAACGGGUGAGGCUAAUAUCCUUGCCUAAUGACGGUACCUGAAGAAUAAGCACCGGCUAACUACGUGCCAGCAGCCGCGGUAAUACGUAGGGUGCAAGCGUUAAUCGGAAUUACUGGGCGUAAAGCGUGCGCAGGCGGUUUUGUAAGUCUGUCGUGAAAUCCCCGGGCUCAACCUGGGAAUUGCGAUUGUGACUGCAUCGCUGGAGUGCGGCAGAGGGGGAUGGAAUUCCGCGUGUAGCAGUGAAAUGCGUAGAUAUGCGGAGGAACACCGAUGGCGAAGGCAAUCCCCUGGGCCUGCACUGACGCUCAUGCACGAAAGCGUGGGGAGCAAACAGGAUUAGAUACCCUGGUAGUCC